This 215-nucleotide long non-coding RNA is filed under the name Nicotiana benthamiana. Its description in RNAcentral is "long non-coding RNA (NBEN_LNC006242)". Lineage: Eukaryota; Viridiplantae; Streptophyta; Magnoliopsida; Solanales; Solanaceae. The record is from RNAcentral.
GCAUGGUAUCUACUAGAUUCUGAAAGCAAUGAAAUAAUAAGGCCUGAAAUAAAACUGUUUGAAUGCAUACUCAUUAAACUGCUAAGUGAAGGAAUCAGAUUAUUAAAAGAGAGACAGGAUUUCGAUAAAUUGCUUAGGAGUUUUGUAACUGGCAGAGUUAGUGAUUUUAUUCCUAACACUGAGUGAAGUGAGUCAAAAUUAUUAUUAGAAGCUCC